This 223-nucleotide ribosomal RNA is filed under the name uncultured bacterium. Its description in RNAcentral is "partial 16S ribosomal RNA". It matches the Rfam family "Bacterial small subunit ribosomal RNA", at positions 109 to 334 of the family's 1533-position model. The record is from RNAcentral.
AGUAAUACAUAGGAAUCUGCCCAGUAGCGGGGGACAACUCGGAGAAAUCCGAGCUAAUACCGCAUACGCCCUACGGGGGAGAGCAGGGGAUCUUCGGACCUUGCACUAUUGGAUGAGCCUAUGUCAGAUUAGCUUGUUGGUGGGGUAACGGCCUACCAAGGCGACGAUCUGUAGCUGGUCUGAGAGGACGAUUCAGCCACACUGGGACUGAGACACGGCCCAG